Non-coding RNA from Schistosoma mattheei, 46 nucleotides. The record is from Rfam. NCBI's taxonomy places the organism in Eukaryota, Metazoa, Platyhelminthes, Trematoda, Strigeidida, Schistosomatidae.
GCACUGCCGAGGCGUCCCACAAUAGGACGAAACGGUCGUCCAGUAC